Molecule: ribosomal RNA, 262 nt
Filed under: uncultured archaeon
Lineage: Archaea
Description: partial 16S ribosomal RNA
Rfam family: Archaeal small subunit ribosomal RNA
Source: RNAcentral
CAGCCGUAAACAAUGUGCGUUAGGUGUGUCGGUAACCACGCGUUACUGAUGCGCCGAAGAGAAAUCGUGAAACGCGCCACCUGGGAAGUACGGUCGCAAGGCUGAAACUUAAAGGGAAUUGGCGGGGGAGCACCACAACAGGUGGAGCCUGCGGUUUAAUUGGAUUCAACGCCGGACAUCUCACCGGAUAAGACAGCUGAAUGAUUGUCAAUCUGAAGGUUUUACAUGACUAGCUGAGAGGUGGUGCAUGGCGUCAGUGACU